Talpa occidentalis (Iberian mole) is the source of this 17198-nucleotide long non-coding RNA. RefSeq lists it as uncharacterized. The transcript is spliced from 5 exons. Lineage: Eukaryota; Metazoa; Chordata; Mammalia; Eulipotyphla; Talpidae. The record is from RefSeq and is a predicted model, not a curated record.
ACUUGGUAGUAUUGCUACAUUCUUUCUCAUAUUUGCAUUUCAAUUACCUUAGGACUGACCUAUAGUUACUCAUUAGUUGAUUUUAUAGCAUAAAAGCAAAGCAUGUUAUCUUGAGUUUCUCAUAUUAUUACAUUUUCAGUCUUAUACAAUGCCUUUUUGAUCACUUAGUUGGUGACUGAAAGAGAAUUGAUCACUGAUUUUUCUGGCAUGUCACUGUGAAUCCUAUCCAGUAGUGGUGCACCGAGGCUGAAAUCAUGUUAACUGCGUUUAGGACAAAUGUAAACCACUCCAGGUAAAAUAACCUUGUUUAAAAAAAAAUAAUAACUUUUAUUGCAGAGGCCUUGGCUAGGUUCAUGAUGACAUAGGACCUUGUUUGAAUAUAAUGAUUUUAAAUUUUGAGCUUAAAAUGACACUCUGAAAUCUAGUCAAUGUGCCUCACUUGAUUUAGAUUUCUCAUAGAACAUUAUUCUCAAUAGAAUAUGUUGGUUUGGCAUGUAAAAUCUUCAGAUAAAUAGAAAUGGCUGGUGUAGUACUACACUUUGUCAGUCUACAAACAACCUUUUUUAUUUUCAUAUAUAUUCUGAGCUAAUUCUUUUUUUUUUUUCAAUACUACAUCUAUGUGUUGUUGAAAGCAAAAAAAGGGAAGGCUCAUUCAUGGAUCCUAGAAGGCAAAUGUACUUGAUGAGAUGGAAGAAAGUACGUGCAAACAAGUAACUACCACCUGUUAGAAUGAACAUUGAAUGUCAAUUGUAGGUGUCUAAGUGAUGUACAGGAAGGAGGGUGAGUAAUAUUUAUGGAAACAUAUUUAUGAAACAUAGUGUCUCUGGUAAGUGCUUUCACAUGGAUGUUGUUGAUGUUUGAGGGACAUUUAUUUAUUUUUAUUUUUUUUCUAUGAAGUUGACUCACAAUUAUAGAGCCAAUACAAUAGAUGUUUAAAAAAUAUUAAUUAAAUACAUGUGUCAACACUCAUAAUUGUUUUAAAUUUUAUAAUACAAUUUUUAAAUAUAAGAAAGUUAAAAUUGUUUAUUGUGGAAUAUUUUGAUAUAUUCUAUACCCCUGUGAUAUGUAAGUCUACACUCUAGUUAGCCCAUCUUACAUAGGUACCACUUUACCUAAUCAUUUCAUGUUAACCAGGACUUGUCUUUUUUUUUUGAAGAUUUAUUUAUUUAUGCAUACAAGAGCUGGGGUACAGGCCAGAGAUGCAGGGGCGGGGGUGUGUGUGAGAGGAUUUACCAGAGAUAGAAUGGGGAACAGAACAGGCAGACUGACUGAAAUACACUGCUGAGGGGAGCAGUGGGCGAGACAGGAGAGGUCUGCUGCACCGUGUGGGUUGCUCCGGGAUCGAACUCAUGCUUCAGUGGCUGCAAAUUGCUUCAUAGUACGGUGCUUAACCCCUUGCGCCACCAGGAAGGCUCAGGACUUGUCUUAAUGUUGUAGAGUAACCUGUCAUAAUUCUUACAGUGUGUUUGUACAAUUAAGUUUUGGUUAUUUUUGGUAAAAAUGUGGAACUACAAAUGCUGUUUGAGUUUACAGAGGUGAGAACACUUUCCUUGCUUUGUGAUGUGAUAAAGAUCUAAUAACAUUUGAUAGAUGCUUCUAAGGAUAUGAUUGUUGAGUAUGUUGAUAAAUGGCUCUUCAGGUGUUUAAGUAGCUUUGCUCUGCCAGGAAUAAACCGACAGUUUAGUGUAGGGGAGCAGCUAAGAGCUGAGUAUACUAUACUUCGUUGAUCCCCCAAAUAGUAGAUGAAGAAACCUCAAAUGACUUCUACCUUGUAUUGAAAGGGGAAUCACUGUCAUCCUCAGGGGUAUCUGUCACCCUCUUGUGCCAGGGAUACAGGCUAGAAGAAGCAAUUCUACUUGUACUUUCACACAUUGAAUGUCAUCUCAAUUAGGUUCUGAAUCUGCUUUGCUAAAAUGAUGUUCCUUUGCCUAUGAUUUAGAAAGUUCUAAUGUGUAACAGAAACCAUUUGUAGGAGACUUUACUGGGUUAAUUUAAUUUGAGUGACAAGAUUAAUCUUAAAAACUAGGAAAGGUAGUCAAGAUUCAAAAAAAUGUUAUAUUUCAACUGAAUUUUUUAAAGAUUAAUUUUUAUUCAUGCAUGCAAGAACUAGGGUGUAGGCCAGAGGUGUAAGGCAGGAGGGGUUGGUGAAAGGAUUCACCAGAGACAGUGGGGAAUUAGAACAGGCAGAUCUACUGAAUUACACUGCUGAUGGGAGCAACUGUGGAGACAAGAAGUCUGCUGUGCCAUGUGGGUUAGAUCCCUGUUGUGGAUAGAACUCAUGUUGCAAUGGCUGUGGAUAGUUUCAUAGUUCUGAUACUUAACCCCUUACUUAACUCCCACCAGGGAGUUCCUCAUUUGAAUUUUUUAUUAUGAGUCACUUUGCAUUUAAUGUAUAGCUGAUAAGGAUAAUACAGUGACAUAGAGGUAUAGCUAUUUGUACAUCUCAAUUCAUUGGGGUUCCUACUCAUAAAAUUUGUGUAGCAUAUUUAUAGAGUUCCUUGUAUCUUAUCAUUUGUUAUGGUGUCAAAGAUAAUUUUAAAAAAUACAUUUCCCCAUAUCAUUAAUUUCACAUCUGUUAGGAGAUAGAUAACUGGAAAAAUAGUAUGCUCUUUUAUUUCCAUGGUAAAAUUUGGAUUAUAUUACCAUUCCAAUUUGGUCCCUUGUGUCAGAAAUGUUAGACCGUGGCUUAUAUGACCUUUAUUGUAUCAGAUAGAGCUGUUGUUGGACUUUCUGCUUUACCUAUUUCAUCUGCCUUAAUUUUGAGUAUCCUCAUUAUUUGGCAUUUUUUAUACUUAACUCUGAAAUAUUUGGUGGAUGUUUUAACUAUAAUGUUGGUCUUUAAUUGGUUUAUAAUAAGUUAUUGUGGAAAAUAUGAAGUUAUUUUUUGUAUUUGUGGUGACAUUUGAAUGUCUUACUUUCAGGUUUUUUUUUUUUUUUGGACUAUUUGUUAAAAUCUAAUGUAAGCCAUUAUAUGUAGUUCAGUGACAUGGAAGAUCUCAAUGUAAUUCUAGGAGAUUGUUAGGGUCUUUUAUUGUCUUUGAUUUUUUGUUGUUGCCUUAGUUUAUAUCAGUUGUUGAUAGUGCUGCUAUAUAUCAUCCAUUGUUAAAGAUGAUCAUUCAUUCUCCCAGACCAGGUGAUUUUCCUCCAUUUAUGAAGAUGCACUGCCUGCUGGUAUACUUUUCUUUAUAUAGUUUACUUCUUGUUGGGAAAGACCUUGACUGGAUUUAUGAUGAGCUGUGUUUACUGAGCAUGAUGAUGUGAAGCUCAAUGUGAGUACUCUGAAGUCCAGCCGAAGCGUCAAUCCAAAGUUCUGGCAUAUACAUUUUUUGAACAUAAGUUUAAAUUUCAAAAGGGUUUUUUUCCAUCAAUACUGUGCAUGUUAGGGAGAAUGGAACUGUUGGUUUUUCCAGUGAAAUACAGGGAAGUUUGUUCUAGAUUCAUUAGAAUUUAAUUUUGGAUAGUACUGUCUAUGUUUUUGUAGCAUUUGUACAUCUCACCCGUCUUUUUCAUAAUGCAUUUCAACUGAUACAUCAGUUUGAGAAAAUAACUACUUCCCUUUCCAUUAUUCGCAUCAUGCAGUUCCAAACUCAUGCCAAAAGUUUCCUCAGGUCCUGGUUCCAACCUCUAUGAGGAAGCUCCAAUUACCACACAGAUAUGAAAUUGCGAAUUUAUUGGUGAGAUAUUGAUUGCUUUGACUUAAUUUUUGGCAGGAUGUUUAAGUCACAUUCAGAGGGACUAUUCUUGAUAAAUUAACUGUCUGUGCAUCUUGACAAAGAAUACAUGGAAAUUUAGAGUUUAAGUCUUUGUGAUUGAAGACAAUGAAAUUGUCAGUUUGCAGUUGUCUAUGUUAAGCCCUAGAAAGAAAUUGAUUUGCUAAAUACCAUGCAUUUUUAUCAACUGAAUAUUUAAGAUGACUAUUUAAAAUUAAUCCUUGCAAAUAUAAAUAAUGAAUAUUUUGCUAUCUGUGAUUGGCAUUCUGUGAGUAGGUGCUGAAAAAAUAGCUUUUUGAAAACCUGUAUAAAAACGCAAUCAGGGAUAGUUAAUUAUACCAAGUUCUUAUUUUCAAAUAGUCAUCUUAAUUUGCUGAGAUGUGUGUAUGUAUAUUUAUAUGUGCAUGUAUAUAUAUGUACACAUAUAUGGUAUAAGGAUAUUAAUACUGUGACAGGUGAUCAGUUUAUAAUACAAAGUUAUCAGGGUUUCAGAGAAUUGUAUGGUUGGUUGGUAAGCCUUUUUCUUAAUUAUUUCCCUCUUUCCCUUACAAGUCUUUUUUUUUUUUUGGCCAUACAUAGUGCAUUUAUUUUUUGAAAAUAUUUAUUUAUGCAUAAAAGAUCUGGGGUACAGGCCAGAGGUGUGAGGGGGUUAGAGGAUUCACCGGGGACGGAAUGGGAUCAGAACAGGCAGACUGACUGCAGAGGAGAGCAGCAGGUGAGUCAGGAGAGAUCUGCUGUGCCAUGUGGGCAGCUCCCUGGCCGGCUGGGGGAUCGAACUCAUGCUGCAGAGGCUGCUGACAGCUUCAUAGGUUGUGUCUUAACCCCUUGCACCACCAGGGAGGCUCCGAUAUAAAUAGUGUAUUUAUAACCUCUCAGAGUUGUCUAGGUUGUCUUCAGUGUUGCCAAUCCUGGCCAGUGUGGAUAUAUUGGAAGAACUGAGAACCUACUGAGCUGCCUGUUUUAUCAACUGAAUUACUAGAAAGAUUUCAUACUCUUGCGUGACAAGGGGAAGGAAUGAGGUUCAGGUCUUCUUGAGGUAUGGUAUUGACUUAAGAUUGUUUAAUAAGUUUAGAUGUUUGGUGCAAUGUAGAGUGGGUAGUUAGUAGGAAAAGAGAUACAGUUAUAUUUGGCAGCUCAGCCACAUCUUAACCCCAUCCCUGGAUGAUACUUCUUUAUUUAAAUAAAUUUGCCUAUAGAUGUCAAUGUGGGGAAGAGGAUUAGUUUUUGUUUAGAAUUUUUUGAGGGGCAAAGGCUGUCUUAAUGAUUAGAUGCAUUGUUUUCUUGCAUUUGAUAACAUCUUUCAUUUUUCUGUGGUCCAGACAAGAUCAUUUAUAAGGGCAAUUUAAUGAGAAGAGUAAUGGAAGGAACAAAGCAGCAAUAAUAGACAGUGAGCAUGGUGAUGGAUGGAGAAAGAUAAGAAGGAAGAAGAUAGAUUUAAAGUGACGAGAGCAAUGUUGGCUAUAUGGAAACUGCACUGUUUGAGUAUUAGGACACAACAGGUAGCAUAGGCAUCAGAAUUAGUAUUCAUCUACAAACUGGUGCUAUCUUUAAGUGUGUGGGCCUCAACCUGCUUUGCCAUGUAAGCCUCUGUACGAUCUCUUGAAAUGACUAUUAUAGGUAUUACUGUGUCUUCUGUUGAGAUUGUUGUAAUUUGCAAAAUGUGAUCAUCAGUUGUCUUUUUUUAAGAUUUAUUUAUUUAUGCAUACAAGAGUUGGGGUACAGGCCACAGAUGCAGGGGUAAGAGGAUUCAUCAGAGACAGAGCAGGGAACAGAACAGGCAGAUUGACCGAAGUACAACUGUUGAGGGGAGUAGCAGCUGAGGCAGGAGAGGUCUGCUGUGCCAUGUGGGUUGCUCCCUGGCCGGCCUGGAUCAAAUUUGUGCAGCAGAGGCUGCGGAUUGCUUCAUAGUGCACUGCUUAAUCCCUUGCGCCACCAGGAGGCCAUCAUCAGUUGUCUCUCUACUACAGAUACUAGAACAGAUGAAGUAUUACAUUUCUAGGCAGUUUAUAUGAAAUAAAAUAUUCUCAUUUAAUACACAUGAAAAACACCUGGAGGUCCCAUGCUAAGUUUCUGACUCAGGUGUGUACAGGAAAAAACUGGAUUUUAUUUGGAAUAAAAGUACUUAUGUGAGUAUGGAUAAUGAAAUAUGUUAUAUGUUUAUAAAUAUGAAAUGAACAUUGAAUUUUGAAAGAAAAUUCAUCAACUUGUAUAAUCAAAAUACCUUUUUUUUAUCCUUUGAAGAUUAUUACAAAAGUCGGAAUGACUGGUUUUGGUCAUUGGAAUCAAGUACAUGGGAAAACAGACAUUCCUAUAAUUUCUCUGAGAAUAUGAGUGCAAAUAUUUUAUAAGAAUAAGCUUCCAGUAUAUAUUUAAAUUAUGUAUAUCAUUUGAAUAAACAGGUUUGCUUUUACUAAUUUUCCUAGUUAGGAAUCAACUGUACAAGUUUUCACUAAGUUUACAUUGGAUAAAAAUGACCAGUAAAGAAAUUUCCAGAAAACAGUAGUUUUUUGAAAAGCUUUUUAAGGUGUGCUUUACUGAAUAACAUGACUUUCUAGAUGUGAUCAUUUCUGCUUAAUAAUUAAACCUUUGGAAGGGGUUUGCUGAUGUGACUAGCAUAUGUGUAACCUUUGUUACUUUGCAUUUGGUAUGUUUUGUAUCCACUUCUCGAUACUUUUUUUCAGUGGUCCAUAAAAUGUAUAUACUAGUGGCUUUCUUGGUUUUGAGUUCGAGAAAUACUGUUUUCUGAGGAAAUUUCCACAUAUGUAUUAUAAUUUGGCACAAAGUUCUGUGUUGGGUGUAUUUAGUUAUUGCAAUCUAGUAUUGUUUUCUAAUGAUGUUUCUCUGUACAGAUAUUAUUAAGGGAUUCUCAAAUGUUACAUAGAAGCUUUGAAGAUUAGCUUUUUUAUUUGGCAUUCCUCCAAGUUUGGAAGUGCUGCACAGUCUAUUGCUGUGCUAUCAACCACUGAAGAAGGAACCAAGACAUUUGAAGCAAGAUUUCUUUCUGUGACUUAAACUGAAUACAAGAAGAAAUCACAGGAUUUAAAAAAAAAAAUGUAACUUUGUGGGUUUUCUGAGAGUAAGAUAUUGCUGUGAUUCUGGUUUUGUUAUAUUUAUUGGGUGUCAGAUAAUGUGGAACAGUUUUUUCCUAAUUAUCUUUUGCAUGAUGGGUAACCCUCUCCAGUGAGCUUGGUACAAAGCAGUGGUUUUGUAUUUUAGAUAGAUUGGAUGUUUUCCUAAGUGGAUUAAGGCCAUAAGUGAUGUCAAAAUAACAAAAGAAAUAACUCCCUACUCACUAUCCCACUAUCACAAGGCCUAGAAUGAUAGUCAGCAUCUAGUAGGUGUUUGAUAGAUAAUUGCCUUUUGGUAUCGGUACUACUGGUUUUUACUUAUUUUUAGUUAUGUUUCCUUGAUUCUUUUCAUUCAUUUACAUAAAUAAUUUUGAGAGUUCAAUAACUUUAUUGGUGUAAUUUUGCCUUUUGUAGAGGCAAAAUUUGCCUUCUAGUGUAAACCUAAAUUUCCCAUUCUUUGUAGGAGUUUGAGUCACGAAAUAAGGACGUUGUGUGGUGCCAUACUGAGUAAUGCUCCAGCAAUUAGAACAAUACUUAAAUGAGCUUGCCAAGCUUUUAUUUGGGUUUUGUGGAUACAGAAGAUAACAUUCCUUUUUUGCCUAUUUUUCAGUUGACUUCACCUGCUUCAGGCUAGCUGGCUGGAGAGAAACAUCCAUGAUUUUUUUUAAGUAUAUGUUCAUUUGAAUUUGUCCCUUUUGUAAAUCUAAUAGAAAUCAAGGGGGGUUUUGUUGUUGAUGAGCAUAUGACAGUUUUAUUUGUUGGUAAUGAAUGACUAUUUUGAUUGCAUAAAAAUAUGUGAAAACUCAUCAUUUGUAUUAUUUUGAAUGGUGAAAUGUACUGGUUAUUAUUACAGUCUUUGUAAUAUACAUAAAAAAUUGUGCAACUCACUAAAACAGAGGAAUUUGAAAUGAUUUUAAAAUGACAAAAACUUGAAGGUAAUUCAAAGAAGAAGAUGUGAUUGUGGAUUUGAAAUGUCUCAAAAUCACUCAUAAGAAUCCCUUAAAAAUCAUUGUUUGAUAUGUUCAACUAUGAAUUUUACAGAGUUUUAAAACUAUGAUCCCAAGUAAGAAAGGGCUGUUUAUUCAUGGACAUUAAUGGAACCUAAGACAGAUGGACACGGAUUUCAUUCAACAUAGGAAAUUUGUUACUUAGGUAGACACUGUUGAAACUAGUGUAUGUGACUGUAGUUGGGAUAACUUUCUAGAUGCAAGUUCUGCUGUCUUUUAAUUAUAUUUACAAGUUUCUAAUCAAACCCCUGAAUUUUAACAUUAAUUCAUCUGUCUGCCAAAGCAGUUUCUGGGAAAGAACAUGAAGAAUGCCGCCACACUUCUAAAUAAAUCUUCAGGUGAUAUGUUACAGGAAUUUUACAAAUAACCAACAAUCAGAAUAUAUGUCAAAUAUAUAAACAUAAAAUAUUUAGAGCUUCUUUCACCACUACCAAAACUUGGAAUUUUCUACUUUUAGUCACUGAACAUACAGAUUCAUAUAUUUUAUGACAUACCUUCAUCUUUAUCCUCAAGUCCAUAAAAAUCUCUAGAAAUGUGUAUAGCAGUAAUGAAUGAUUCCAGCCUGGGAUUAUGUAGAACACAUUUUCAAACCUUUUUGCCAUUAACAUAGUAGGAGAGUACAGCAUGAGUGACUACAACUGCAUCAGUAACAUUGUUUCAAAAUUCUUCUGGAGUAUCCUAAGAACUUUGUCUUCUGGACUGCUGUGGACUUCAGGUAGACUUAGGAGAUCUUUGGCCCCCACCUUACUGUAGUCCUAAGAUUUUCUACUUAGUUUGCCUUGCCAAACACUGUAAGAACAUUGAAGAUUUCAACCAAAAAUGUGUGAAGGAUUCUAUCUACUGAAUUAUUACAUGGAUAAAACUUGCAGAAUUGUGCUUCUCUGAACAAUCUCAAGUAGACUGAAGCCAACUCUGAAGCUGUAUUUGGAUAGAAAGGGAAAGGCAAUACUUCUUGAUUCCAGAUAGAAGCUUCACAAUCAGAAAAUCAGCAAACAAAAUAUCAGUUUGAAAACUUAAUCUUGCUUUUUAAGUAUUUGCUUGUUACUAGCAAUUCUGGGAUUUGCAAACAGAAAAACAAAGAAUUUUUUAUUGCUGUGGAACAUCAAUUUGUCUUCUAAAGGUUUGCCAGAAAAAUACCUGCAUAUGUGACAUCUGUACACACAAAAAACAAAACAUAUCAUUUUUUUUCCCUCCUGGCACUUUUGAAUGGCUCAGCAUAUUAUCCUACUAACUACUUUAUUGGACAUAAAUAGCAUAAGAAUGUUUAAUUAGGAAAGUUGAGUCUGGGUAAUAAGGAAAUGAAAGUGAAAUCUUUAGUGACUGAAUAGGUAUGAACUAUUCAUUGGAUAUUAAAAGAUGAAAAGAAUUGCUAUUAAACAUAAAUUUUUAAAUAUUCUAGUUCAGUAUCUAGUUCAGUAAUCUAAUAGUCUAGCACAGAGGUAUACAUUUAUAAAAAUAUCUGCUUUUAAAAUUGCUUUAUGAAAUUGUUACUGUGAUAAGACAUAGCUAAUUUCCUAAGAAAGUUUCUAAAAACAUGUUUGGGGCUGUCUUCUGAAAAAUAUUUCAGAAAGAAUUUUGAGAUCACUCUGUAAAACUACGCAAUUCUAUAUUCAUGAUUUUACUGCUUAGGGGUAACAGAAAAUAAGUUAUUAAUACUUUAUUUAGAGAAAAAGUAAGUCAUCAGUUUUGUGAACCUUGGUAAUAUUGUGUAUGAAAUUAUCAAAAAUAUAGUGGCUUUGUGACAUUUAAUGAAUUGUGAUUGCCAACAAAGACUUUGGUUAAAUUGAUGACAUAUUUUCAAUACAAUGAAAGAAAUAGAAUUGUUAACAAAACUGAUGUUAAAAAUCAUUUUAUUGCUAUGGGGUUUUAUUGGGAGGAGGGAAAUUAUUUUGUUAGCAGUAGGCAUGUAAGAAAUUUCAGUAAGGCUGUUGUUGAUGUAGAUGACAUUCCCUAAUGAUCUCUGUGAAAAUUCUUGUGAUACGAGAUUUUUCUACAGGAAUGGAAUAUUUGCACAGGAGGCGAGCCUCUAUGAACACAUGCAUGUUCAGGAUUGAGAAAACAUAUAUUGCUGUGUAUAGAGUAGAAAAAGUGCUGUGUGUUAUGUUUUUCUGAAGUACAUAGAUGACUGAUACAUAUGGCCAUUCAAUUAUUAUGAUUUGUUGAUUGCUGAGAGGUGUUUCUAGAUCACUUUGUAAAGAGCUGAAUUAGGAGACAAGACACUAAGGAAUUUUGGAGGCCUCUGUGGAUAUAUAGUGUAUGUGCACAGAUAGUUCUUAAAGGGCCAGAUGAUGGGAAUCUGUUAAUAUUCUAACAAAGAAUUUUUUAAUCCAUCUUUCUCCAGUAGAAAUGUUAAGUUGCCUUUGGACAUAAUGCAUUUCUGAUAGAUAUUUAACAUUUUGUUAUAAACAUUAUAAUGUUAAUUUUAUUGGUUUAACAUCAAAUAUUCUACAUGUAUUGACAUUGUGAGUAAUUAUCAAUUUAUAAGGCUAGAACCAUUUUUGGUAAAAAAUGCAUCAUUAUACUUGAUUUGUAUGUCAUAUUCCUAAUGUGUAAUAUCUACCUUCAAUGUUUAAUAUUAAUCUACUGUUACUAUUUUAUGACAAAUUUCAUCAUGAUAGAAAUAUCUUUAACUAUUGGUCAGCCCCUUUUUAUGGUUUUCAGCUAUAUUUGGAUACAAAAAGAAUUCUUUGUAUAAUAUGCAUGUGAUAAAAUAGCAUAAGAUAGUUAAGUUUUCAUUUGCCAAAACAAUUUAAAUUUUAAUGAUAGUGAAUUAUUGUUUUGAAUUAUUCUUAUUUUUAGUUUCAUAGGUAGCUUCUAAGUUUUUAUGUGGCACGUUAGCAAGUUCAUAAAAUCUUGGGCUGACCAAAGGAAUGUUUUGGUAUUUUUGUACAAAUAAUUAAUAGUUAACUAUUUUUUAAGAAACAAGGAACAGGUAUUUCUGCAUGUUUUGUAAAUAUAUUCUAUGUAGAAUAGCUACUUUCCACUAAUGUCAGACUAUCUCUGUGUAAAUAAUUUGGCAGCUGAAGGGUGUUUUGUUAUAUGAUUGUAUAUAAAAUAAUUACAAUAUGUAAUAUGAAAUAAUUUUUGCUUUAAACUUUUAUUCCCUGAUUUAUUGGGAAUUGCUGACAUGUGCUUGUAUAUAAACACACUUACACGUACAUAUAUGCACAGUUGUAGUAGUGUGUUUAAAGCAAUUUUUUUGGAAACUCACAGAAAGCUUUUUGUCAAUCAUCCGUGUAUUUUGUUGUAGGGAUCAUGACAUAAAGUUUAUGAAUUUUAUUAUGUUGGUCGACCAUAUUCUGAGAGGGCUACAUACAUGGUAGAUAAAUAUUUUUAUUUUUUAACAUAUGCAUAAGAUUUGCUGAUAGACACAAUUUUAAUACCCAACAGAUAAAGGUAAAAACACUAUUUGGGCAAAUUGUUUGUUUGGAAAGUUUUUGGUUGAUGGCAUUUGUUUGUUUCUUAUGUAGAAGAUAAUGUCACUUCAUAAAAUAUUUUUGGAGAGGAUAUGUAAUUUUGUCAUUAUUACAGAAUAUUUUCAUUGAAAUGUUACUGGUAGAAUCACUGUUAAAUCACAGACACAGAGAUCAGUUAGCCUUCAUUGUCUGUUUUUUUAUUUUUAUAUUCUUUAGUUUUUAAUUAGAUAUUUGUUACAGAAAUCACUGCCAUUUCUUAUUGUAUGUGUAUAAUUUAAUUCUUAAUUCCAUCCAGUUGUAGAAUGUUGGAAUAGAGUAGUAAGUAAUAAUUAUAGAUAUAAUACAUAUGCUUCUUGUGUAGCAUUUGAACUUCUUAAAUGUGUAUAGAUGUCCUCUCCACAUACAUGUGUAUACACAUGCAUACAAUAAAUAUUGUAAUGUUGAGCUGUGGUGAAAAAUUUCUAUUACCAAUAGAACUGUUUCACUCCUAUAUGUUCUUGCUUGAUAUAUUUGAGGGAAUUAUUUGAUAGUUCUGUACAUGUGAUCAUAGAUUUUUAUAUCAUGUAACUUUAGAUGUGAAGAAAUAUCUCACUUUUGAACAUGUUUUACUUAAAAUUAUAGCAUAUUUUUUUUUGCUUGUAGAAAUGAAAUGGUCACCAAGCCUAUAUAUUGUUGAGUGUGAUUUCUACACUGCUGUGUAUACAGCUAGUUUUAAACACUUAAUUUUUUAUGUAAAGACAUCCUUAUUAUACUUUUAAAUAUUAGAAAGUUUUUUUUUCCAAUAUAAUAAUUAGCUUUUAUUUGUGUGUACAGUGGUUUGUUGUUGUGAGGAAUACGGACUAGGAUUUCUGACCUCAUCUAUAAUAUACUUUUGCUUUAUAUCUGUUCUUCCUGGUUUAUAGAGAUGUGGGCAUAUAAGCAUUGUAAUCAUGCCAUUUCCAGACUAUAAGUUAAAAUUGUUUAACUUCUGCAGCUUAUCUUAGAAAACAUGGGUGGGCUCAUUAGGGUUUAUUGUUAAACAGUUGUGUUUAUAAUAGUUGCUUUAUUAUAUUUUUUAUUGUGUAAAGAUAUAAAAUUGUUUAUAAAUGGAAAGAGAAGGUAGUGGUAGUUUUUUAAUAUUUGAUAUUUCCAUUUUAGUUUUGUGUAGUCUUCAUUGGAUUGCUAGAAUUAUUAAAGACAAAUUACUCAAAUUGAGUCAAAUCCUUUUUCAACUAUAAUUUUUGUAUACAUGUUGUUAUGUUAAGGAGGACCUAGAGUCAUUUAGUAUUUUUACCUCAUUUUUAUUUAGAAGAAAAUUUAGAUUGUAGUCAUAACAUUGUUUGACUCUAUAUUAUAUGAAAAUACCUCAACCUAUAUAACGAACAUGUAGGUAUAUUUUAUUUUUCCAGAUGAUCUGAGAUUCAUGAUUCAUAGUAUAUUUUAUAGAAUCUCCUAAAUUGUUUCUAUUUUCAUUUGUUACUUAGCAGAGUAACCAAUGCAACUUUGUAAAUAAUGGGUAGUUGAAAUAUUUUGUUUUAAAACAUCUAGUAUACCUAGAUGUAUUGAGAGUCUCACAAAGUAUAAUUUUGUAAAUAUCUCCUUGUAGAUUUCUUAGUACUGUUUGUUAGUACAUUUAUAAUUAGCAUGUUAGUUCUUAAUGAACAGGCAGUUGGAGCUUUUGCAGGAUUUAUCAUACUUGGUUAAGAGGAGAAAUUGACAAAAUGAUGCAUCUACCUCAUUUUCAUGUAGAACUUCACCAUGGCAUCAAGUGUGAAUCAAUAAUUAAAAACACAGCAUGUAAAUUGAUUUGGUGUUUCUGGAUGUACCAAAUUUCCUGAAAUAUUUAUUUAAUGUUACUAUUUUUUUAUAAAAAGUUAAUUUUUUAGAACAGUUUUGAGUUAAGUAAAAAUUGAGCAUGAAGUGACAUUUCCAUAUACCCUCACUCUCCCCUUCCAUUCAUAGCUCCCCAUCUCCACUAUCAACAUCCCCCAGCAGAGUUGUACAAUUUGUUAAAAAUUAAUUAACUACAAUCACUGAACUCUCAUAAUCAUCCAAAGUCCACACAUUAUGUUACUGUCAACUCUUGGUGAUGUACACUUAGGACUUGCACAGAUGUAGAAUGACAGGUAUCCUUUGAAUAGCAUCAGUACACAGCAUUCUGAUCCUCUGUGUCCUGCCUGUUCAUAUCUCCCCUUUUGUUUAUUUUGCGUUUGAUUUUUUUUGUUUGUUUUUAGCACUCAUGAUAUAAGUGACUUGUUAAAAAAGGCUUUUAUACUACCUCUUGGAACUAUACAAUUUUGUAUAUGUUCCCUUGGUUGCAUGACAAUAUUCAAGACAAUUUUGUAAAUAAUAGGUAUAUACAAGAUUUUUAAUUUUAACAUCUAGAAUUUCUAGAUGUAUUGGAGUCUCAUAAAGUAUAAUUUUGUAUAUAAUUCAUUGUAAAAUAUCAUGUUUUCCUUGUUUCCUUCAAUUUCUUUACAGUGAAAUUGAUGAGAAUUAUUUUUUGAGCUAUACAUAUUUUGAUAUUUGUUUAUUGAAUUGUUAGGGAAAGGAGAAAAUGAAAAGGAUAUUUUCACUUUUACAUUCUCAUUUAAAAUUCAGAUUUUAGAUUUUAACCUUUGUUUAGUGUUUGCAGUAUUAUGCAUUCAAAAAACCAAAAUCAUAAUUUUAUAGUGUAUUGCUAAUGGGGCAUUAUGUAUUUUAAUCAUAGGAAAUGUGUUUUAUAAGAAAUUUUAUUCUCCCUCUUGAAUUAUAUAAUUUUGUAUCAAGAUGCAUGACAGUAUUCAAGACAAUUUGCUAAAUGUCAGAUAAUCAUUUAAAACUGACAUUUCUAGAUGAAUCAAGCACACAAGUAUACAUUUGUGUAAAUAAUUUCAUUGUAAAAUAUCAUAAAAUGGCUUCUGGAAAUGUUUUUGCAGUACAACAAAUAGGUAAUUAAUAAUCAACCUCUUUGGGCUAUGUAACAUUUUCAUGUUUGUUCAGUGGGUUUUGGAAAGAGUGAAAUUAUUGCCUACAUGUCUUCAGAUUUUAGAUUCUCGAGUCUAAGUUAAGAUUACAGUAUAUUUGAUAACAAAUGUAAAUAGUCUUGGGAUAUAGUUUUGUCUAUAAAAGAGGAAGACAUGAAGGAAAUGGCCAUUUUAAUCAGAUGCAUUCACUUAGCAGAUAAUGGCAUUGCUAAAGUAUUCAUAUUUUGCUAUGCUAUAUAAGUAUACUCUGCAAAUUUAAAUAUUUAUAGGCAUAUACAUGUGUGUUAAAUAUGUGAAAUUAGUUUUAGCAGGAUAGAUCAACUGUCACUCAUCUUCAAGUGUUUUACUUUUUCCUCAUUUAUUAGCUUAUUGCUUUAAAUUUUAUUUUUAUUUGAAGAUUAUAGAAAUAAUUUACUUAUAACAUUAAAAACAUUUCAAGAGGCCCAUCUCAUGUAUAAAAUGUUAAUUUUUGUAUAACUGAUCAAAGAGGUCCAUAUCUUCUAUUUUCAUAUAUAAUAUGACAUCGAUACAAGAUGUAUAUAAAGAUAAAAUUUAAUUAUCAUUUUCUGAGAACUUUAUCAGAUUUUCCAGAAAACAGUUACUUUUUGUGUGUUAAAUGGUAAAAUUUGAAACAAAUUUGAAAAUUUGAAACAAAUGUGUAAAUAAUGAAGAAUUUCUUACAAAGUUUUACUCAGUAUUGAUUAAAUUUCUGAUCAUCUUUUUGAACAUUUGGGCAAUGACAAUCAAUUGAGUGUAUAAAACUUCCAAAAUUAUGUAGCUUACUGCUGGAUUUUUAUCUGUUCCAGCACUUAAAUUUACAAAACAGCAAGUAUGUUAAAAUUUGAGCAUGACACAUAAUUUGAAUGUAUCAAAUUCCUAUCAAUAAAAUGUUAUAAUAAUUAUAGCUUAUAAUCAUACCAAUGAGUUUGUCAUAAAUAUAUCAAAUACCAAAAAAAGUAACUUGACAUAGGGUGGGUACUUGACGUUGAUUUUUUUGAAAAUUAUGUCAUUUUUGAACAAAUGUCAGCUAAUUGUUUAGUUGCAGGGGCAUGUGUGUAUGCCACUACUUUCUGAAAUCUUAAUCAUUAUUCCUGGAAAAGGGGAUUGUCUUUGAUAAGAUUAUUGAGUUAAUGUUUACUCACCAGUAAUUAUGAUGAGUAAUUAUUUUUUUCUACCUUCCUAUUUUUUAAUUAUUUUAUACUUUUUUUUUUUAUUUUUUGCACAAUGUAUUCGUUUUCAUCUUGGUAUAGUCCCCCCUCUUGUUUUGAUGCUACUUCCUCUUCCUCCUUUACCCUCCCUGUAGUGUGUCUCUGGUUUAUAGUUGCUGAGCUGGAAGGGGAUGCUCAGCGAAAUAAGCCAGAAAGAAAAAGAAAAAUACCGGAUGGUCUCACUCAUAGCAGGAAUUUAGAAAACCUAAAUAAGGGACCAGGAAAAACACUUAUUAUAAUAAAGUAAAAAUGAGUUAUUAUUUGAAUGUUUUUUUUAGAUAUUUUGUACAUCUGAGAUAAAUACUAAAGCAUUGUCUAUAUAUUUGUACAUUGCUACUUGACAAUUUAAAAUGAGUUUUCAAAUUAUUGAAUAGAAAAUUGCCUGGAAGAACAUGAUAAAAUGAUGACAGUAUUGUAUACAGGGAUAGGAUUUGGGAAGUGCUUCUGCUUUCUGCAAUCAAAAAUUUAAUGUUAUGUCAAAAAUGAACACUUUUAAUCAAGGGAAUUUUAAUGAGUACACCAAUUUGUUCCUGUCUUCAUUUUUGCCUGUCAACAUCUUGAAAGCAUUGGGCUUGUAUAUCAAACUUUGUAUUCCAAGUUGCCAUUGUGAAUGAGUUUUGAGUGACCAUGAAGAAUAUGUGAUUUAGAGACUAGCGCAGCAAAGUUUUACAAGUGAAAAAAAGUAUUGGAUUACCCAAGGAAAGAAGAAGGGACAAGAAUGGGAUUUUGAGGUGACCAUGAUAAAAAAUUUGCAUAUAAUUUGAGGUGGCAGCUAGUGAGCUACUGAGGACAAGUAACAUCAUCAGAGCAUUUCUGUUCCUUUUAAUUCAUGCAACUAAACUGCACGACACAGGGCAUUACAGUUACAAGAAAAGAUACUUUUAUCAUCUUGUUUUUAAUCCCAAGAAUGGUACACCAGACCUGUUGCUGUAUUUCUUAUUUAAGAGCUCUUCACUCUUAUCUCUGCUCCCAGGAAUAACCCUUUAGUGAUAAGAUUAAUAAAUCUUAAGUAGAAGACUUCCUGUGAAAUAUCUACUUGAGCAACUUUGAUGGCCAGCUGGAAUCAUAGGUGAUAACUGAAUAGAAAUAUGAUGUCAUUGUUAAUGUUACCAUAUUCACCAAAACCAAAAGGUGAUCUUCAUCAUGUAUAGAGAUUCCUCUUUCAUAUGUUGCAGUGGACACUGCAAAUGAGAAAACUGGACUUGAGAACACUCAUGUUUUAAUGUUACCUAAUGGAUGUCUUUGGAGAGAAUUGUUACCAGGCACGUUUACUGUUUCACUGUUGCCAGUGGACUAAAAUCUCAGGAGCUUGAAUGGCUGAGACAUUCCACAGAGACUCAGGAUGGUAUAACUGCAAGAAUUCAUUUCGGUGUUCCCAUAAGUGCAUAUAUUUACAAUUUUCACUUAGCACAGGGUGAAGUUAAGAUUGAUUCAUGUUAAAGUUUUGAAAUAAUUAUAAUUGAGUGGAAAUUUUGGAAUAUGAAUAUACAAUCUUUAUAUUUUUAGUCAAAACUAAAUAUUUCCUUAUGUUUUCUCAAACUGUACAAAUAUCAGUGUUUUUAAUCUUAGGCAAUGUGACCUACAAGGAAAUUUCUUUUUUGUUAUUGUUAAGUCAUCUUCAUAUACUUUUCAUACUUAGUAGUCUUUAGUGUUAUUUCAUUUUCAUCUGUGUUUUCAUUUCGAUUAGAAUAUUGGUCUCUUAUUUGUUUCUAAAAGUACAUUUAUGGCUAAGUAUAUUAAUAAUUUGUCAUGUAUUGCAAAUGAAUAUCAUGUUUUUUUGCCCUUAUUUUACUGUAUUUUAUUUUUUUGUUGUACUGAAGUUGUAUAUUGAAAUAUAAUCAUAU